RNAcentral lists this ribosomal RNA (635 nucleotides) under Bacillus sp. (in: firmicutes). RNAcentral describes it as "bacterial SSU rRNA". It matches the Rfam family "Bacterial small subunit ribosomal RNA", at positions 761 to 1391 of the family's 1533-position model. Lineage: Bacteria; Bacillati; Bacillota; Bacilli; Caryophanales; Bacillaceae. The record is from RNAcentral.
GUGGGGAGCGAACAGGAUUUAGAUACCCUGGUAGUUCCACGCCCGUAAACGAUGAGUGCUAAAGUGUUAGGGGGUUUCCGCCCCUUUAGUGCAGCAGCUAAAGCAUUAAGCCCUCCGCCUGGGGAGUACGGUCGCAAGACUGAAACUCAAAGGAAUUGACGGGGGCCCGCACAAGCGGUGGAGCAUUUUGGUUUAAUUCGAAGCAACGCGAAGAACCUUACCAGGUCUUGACAUCCUUUGACAAUCCUAGAGAUAGGACGUCCCCUUCGGGGGCAGAGUGACAGGUGGUGCAUGGUUGUCGUCAGCUCGUGUCGUGAGAUGUUGGGUUAAGUCCCGCAACGAGCGCAACCCUUGAUCUUAGUUGCCAGCAUUCAGUUGGGCACUUUAAGGUGACUGCCGGUGACAAACCGGAGGAAGGUGGGGAUGACGUCAAAUCAUCAUGCCCCUUAUGACCUGGGCUACACACGUGCUACAAUGGACAGAACAAAGGGCAGCGAAACCGCGAGGUUAAGCCAAUCCCACAAAUCUGUUUUCAGUUCGGAUCGCAGUCUGCAACUCGAUGCGUGAAGCUGGAAUCGCUAGUAAUCGCGGAUCAGCAUGCCGCGGUGAAUACGUUCCCGGGCCUUGUACACACC